GACGAACGCUGGCGGCGUGCUUAACACAUGCAAGUCGAACGGAAAGGCCCUGCUUUUGUGGGGUGCUCGAGUGGCGAACGGGUGAGUAACACGUGAGUAACCUGCCCUUGACUUUGGGAUAACUUCAGGAAACUGGGGCUAAUACCGGAUAGGAGCUCCUGCUGCAUGGUGGGGGUUGGAAAGUUUCGGCGGUUGGGGAUGGACUCGCGGCUUAUCAGCUUGUUGGUGGGGUAGUGGCUUACCAAGGCUUUGACGGGUAGCCGGCCUGAGAGGGUGACCGGCCACAUUGGGACUGCGAUACGGACCAGACUCCUACGGUAGGCAGCAGUGGGGAAUAUUGCACAAUGGGCGGAAGCCUGAUGCAGCAACGCCGCGUGCGGGAUGACGGCCUUCGGGUUGUAAACCGCUUUCGCCUGUGACGAAGCGUGAGUGACGGUAAUGGGUAAAGAAGCACCGGCUAACUACGUG
RNAcentral lists this ribosomal RNA (468 nucleotides) under uncultured bacterium. RNAcentral's name for it is "partial 16S ribosomal RNA". It matches the Rfam family "Bacterial small subunit ribosomal RNA", at positions 28 to 507 of the family's 1533-position model. The record is from RNAcentral.